AUCAUGGCAACAUAAUUGGCAAGCAUAGGAAGAACCAUAUGCCCGGAACUGGAGACUAGAACGAGAGCACAUUCUAUAUGGAAGGCGACACAGGGCAUCCUGUUUUCGAGACGGCUUUCGGAAAUAUAGCUGUUAAUUUAUGUUAUGGGAGGCACCAUCCUUUGAAUUGGUUAGCUUUUGGUUUGAAUGGUACAGAGAUUGUUUUCAACCCUUCUGCUUCCACUGGCGAAACCAGUGAACAAAUGUGGCCUGUCUAGCCCGCAGUGCUGCAAUAGCAAACAGUUACUUUGUUGGGUCAAUCAAUCGUGUUGGGACUGAGAAAUUCGCCCAUCCAUGCACUUCCAGAGAUGGCAAACCUCCAAAUCUUGGGCAUUUCUAUGGAUCCAGUCAUUUUUCAGCCCCAGAUGCUUCUUGCACCCCAUCUCUUUCCCGUAACAGGGAUGGACUGCUUAUCUCAGACAUGGAUCUCAACCUUUGUAGGCAGAUAAAAGACAGGUGGGGAUUCCGAACGACUGCCAGAUUUGAGUUGUAUGCAGAGUUGCUUGCUCAUUAUCUGAAGCCAGAUUUUGAGCUCCAAGUCAUUUCUGAUCCCUUUAAAUAAGAAUUCUAUGUACAUUUCUGAGUGUUACUGAGGGUUAAAUCGUGUAAGAAUUAAAAUAAUUGAAAGCUGUGUUGGGAUAAUAUCUUAUUUUAUCUG
Molecule: long non-coding RNA, 697 nt
Organism: Juglans regia (Persian walnut)
Lineage: Eukaryota; Viridiplantae; Streptophyta; Magnoliopsida; Fagales; Juglandaceae
Exons: 3
Source: RefSeq, a predicted model, not a curated record